AUUACUUUGUAAUGAUAAUAAGAUUAUUCUUUAUAGUUAGGUACUCAAAAUGGUAGUUAUUUAUAGCAGUGACCAGGGGAUAAUAUUAUACAUUCGUUAGAAAUAAUAGGGUAGCCAUAACUUAACUUUAUUAAUGCACAGAAUUGGUAAAAAAAGUGCCAGCAACCGCGGUCAUACUUUUGCUUUGAAAGAAUAAUAAACAGAGAGGGAUAAAACUUAUAUUAACACCAUAUAACUAUUUUAAAAAAUGCUCUAAUUAGUGAAAUAAUAUAGCAUUACAUUGUUUAAUCAAAUAGUAUAAUCUAAGUUUGUUCAAAAAAGUGGCUUUAUAAACUAGGAUUAGAGACCCUAUUAUACCAGUCUUUAAAACAUACCUUUAGGAGUAAUAUAAUAUAAUAUAAAAACUAAAAUUACAUGGCGGCAGGCUAUAAAACAAUUAGGGGAACUUACCCUGUAAUUGAUAAUCACCAAGUAAAUAUACUAUAAUUUAAAGUUUGUAUGCCGUUGUCUUCUGUUUUGUUUGACAAAACAAUUCAAUAAAUAAUAAAACCAUUUUAUGAAAAGUCAAAUCAAGGUGCAGCCAACAUUAUAGAAGAGGCGAGUUACAUUAUCUAGUUAAUAAUUUCUGAACUUAUUUCAAAAAAUAAGCUUUAAGGCGGACUUAAUAGUAAUCAUGAAAUAAUAAUUAUAUGUUGAACAUACUUAUAAUUGUGCACAAAUCGCCCGUCACUCUCAUUUCACACUGAGAUAAGUCGUAACAUAGUAGAGGUAAAUGAAUUUGUCUCU
This 786-nucleotide ribosomal RNA is filed under the name Mexistrophia reticulata. RNAcentral describes it as "12S ribosomal RNA". The record is from RNAcentral. Lineage: Eukaryota; Metazoa; Mollusca; Gastropoda; Stylommatophora; Cerionidae.